UCCUGAGUUUAUUGUGUAUAAUGUACAUAACUUAAUUCAUCUAGCGGAUGAUGCAAGGAAACAUGGAUCUCUUGAUCUAAUUUCAUGUUUUCCAUUUGAGAACUUCUUGGGUAAAGUAAAAAAGAUGGUACGGAGGCCACAGCAUCCGGUGCAGCAAGUUGUAAAACGUGUACAUGAAAAACAAAAAGUAAAGGCAAAGGCAAAUAGACAGGAGGAUAGUGUACUAAAUCAACAUAAAAAACUCCAUCUCUCUGGGCCAUUGCCUCAGGGAUUUGAAGCAUGCAAGCAGUUCAAACAGUACUAUGGAGAAAAUAUUUUUAUUUCAUGUGAAAUGGGUGAUAAUUGUUUUGAUUUGAAUGGUCAAGUUUGCCUUGUAAGCAAUAUAUUGUACAGUGUGUCUGGGGACACAUAUGUAGUGUGUGAUUGUUUUUCAAAUGUGGACAUUUUUUAUGAUUACCCUAUUGACUCUUCAGCUCUGGGAAUCAAACUUGUACAUGGAUUACGUGGACAACUGCAAGUUUUUCCUGUGACCGAGUGCACAAAAAAAAUGGUCCUUUUACCAUAUAAAGGAGCUUUUGUAGUCUUGCCUCUGCUACAUGACUGCUAAUAUUGUGGAUUAAAUUUGUUUAGUAAAAUGCUGCCCUUUGUGGUUGUGGAAUUUCUGGACUCACGGACUGUGGCUAUUAUACCAAGAAACUGGUUUACCGGGCCAGAGGAAGAGGAGUGUUACUGGCCACCUUCCUCCACUGUCAAUGUUGAUCGAUGUGUUAGAGAGGGAAGAGACCCACAAGAAGAUUGGAUGAAAUUCCAAGUGCGAGUUUUGGGAAAAGCUGCUGACUAUGCAGCUGCCAGAACAAAGCUGCGUAAAGCUGAAGUGACUUCAGAUCUUCAGACGGAUCCAGAACCAGAAAGAGCCAAGCGUAAAAGAAAACUCAGAGUUGUUGACACCGACUCAGACAUUGAAGAUUGUCCAGAAAUGGUCGCUCCACCACCCCCAAGAAGGCUUCUAGUAAAAGGACUGGGGAACCAUCGAGGCACUACACCCGCUACACCACCUCCACCUCAUCUUCUAAAAGAAGCACAAACGCCAGUUCGCAGCACUCCAGCACACACAGGUUCUACUAAUACUCCCUGCAGACCAGUUCAGCCCAGUGGAAUGGCAGUGAGGGAUGGAAUGUUUGUUCGUGUACUGACAAUACUGGAAGAAAUUAAAGAGUGUCAAAAGGUACAGGGUAGCAUGAUAAGGUGUCUUAUGCAGCAGAGAGAACAAAACUGUGUGGUUCCUAUCUUGCCUGAGGGAGUCUCCUUUCCAUUGAAGAGCUUUACCGAAUUGGAUGAUCUGGAGUUGAAGCUCUGUGAGUCUGACUUCCAGAAAAAUUUGGUCUCAGUCCUUGGGGACAUUGGAGGGAGGAGCCUUGAUGAAUGUGUCCGUAGAACUAUGGCGUUUUUGAUGACAAAUGACCUUGCCCGUCAAUUGAACCUCACAGGGCGACAUGGAAAACGUUCGUUCAGGAGUCUACGUCUCUUUGAUACUUUGCAUGGUAGCCUGAAACAGAACACUUUCUUGAAAACUGUAAGUAAGAAAGAGGUGGAGACAGCCCUUGGUAAAUGGUUCACAAAUGCUAGGGACAGAGAUGGCAACCGUGCCUUGAGAGCCCAGCGAAACCUUGUGCAGAGAGCCGCACAGUCAGAGGUGCUUGAAGCUGAGGAGUCUGUACAGACACAGGACUGACAACUUUUAUAUGAGGAAGCAUAAACGCCAGUUCGCAGCACUCCAGCACACACAGGUUCUACUAAUACUCCCUGCAGACCAGUUCAGCCCAGUGGAAUGGCAGUGAGGGAUGGAAUGUUUGUUCGUGUACUGACAAUACUGGAAGAAAUUAAAGAGUGUCAAAAGGUUUGAAGCUGAGGAGUCUGUACAGGCACAGGACUGACAAAUUUUUUAUCUUAAAACAUUGUUCAAUAAAAAACUUUAAUUUACACAUUCUGAAUUGAAGUCAUUUUUUCCCUGCAAUUCAAAUAUUUAGUAGUUCCUUAGACAUUAAAAUAUUAAAGCAACACAAAAUCUGUUGAUUUGAUGCUUUCUUGGUUUGAGAAGGUACUGGUUUACAAAACAGUUACAAAUUUGAAGUAAUUUGAAAGUUAAUUUUGGAGAAAAGCACAUUAACUUGAUCCACAGGAAUCAGGUUUACUUAAUAAAUGGGGCCCACUGUGGUCCCACAAUCCAUAUACGGGGUCAUUGGGGUCCAGUGAAAUCACCCAUAAGGGCCCCAUAAGGGUGACGUAUGGGACCCACUUUGGGCCCAUUAAUAUUAUAUAAUGUGGGACCCAAGUGGGCCCAUAAACUGAACUCCUACAUGGGCCCAACUUGGAGCCCACUGUGUACCCAUCAUUAACCCACAUGGGCUAACACACAUGGGGCCCAUGUGGAGCCGAUGGACAAAUUUAUCUGGGCCCCAUUUGGGUGGCCCAUGCGGGGCC
This is a non-coding RNA of Misgurnus anguillicaudatus (oriental weatherfish), 2481 nucleotides long. NCBI's taxonomy places the organism in Eukaryota, Metazoa, Chordata, Actinopteri, Cypriniformes, Cobitidae. The record is from RefSeq and is a predicted model, not a curated record.